AUUGAACGCUGGCGGCAGGCCUAACACAUGCAAGUCGAACGGUAGCACAGAGGAGCUUGCUCCUUGGGUGACGAGUGGCGGACGGGUGAGUAAUGUCUGGGAAACUGCCCGAUGGAGGGGGAUAACUACUGGAAACGGUAGCUAAUACCGCAUAACGUCGCAAGACCACAGAGGGGGACCUUCGGGCCUCUUGCCAUCGGAUGUGCCCAGAUGGGAUUAGCUAGUAGGUGGGGUAACGGCUCACCUAGGCGACGAUCCCUAGCUGGUCUGAGAAGAUGACCGGCCACACGGGAACUGAGACACGGUCCAGACUCCUACGGGAGGCAGCAGUGGGGAAUAUUGCACAAUGGGCGCAAGCCUGAUGCAGCCAUGCCGCGUGUAUGAAGAAGGCCUUCGGGUUGUAAAGUACUUUCAGCGAGGAGGAAGGCGUUGUGGUUAAUAACCGCAACGAUUGACGUUACUCGCAGAAGAAGCACCGGCUAACUCCGUGCCAGCAGCCGCGGUAA
This 506-nucleotide ribosomal RNA is filed under the name uncultured bacterium. RNAcentral's name for it is "partial 16S ribosomal RNA". It matches the Rfam family "Bacterial small subunit ribosomal RNA", at positions 30 to 523 of the family's 1533-position model. The record is from RNAcentral.